This 445-nucleotide ribosomal RNA is filed under the name uncultured organism. RNAcentral's name for it is "partial 16S ribosomal RNA". It matches the Rfam family "Bacterial small subunit ribosomal RNA", at positions 335 to 797 of the family's 1533-position model. The record is from RNAcentral.
ACUCCUACGGGAGGCAGCAGUGGGGAAUAUUGGACAAUGGGCGCAAGCCUGAUCCAGCCAUGCCGCGUGAGUGAUGAAGGCCCUAGGGUUGUAAAGCUCUUUCACCGGUGAAGAUAAUGACGGUAACCGGAGAAGAAGCCCCGGCUAACUUCGUGCCAGCAGCCGCGGUAAUACGAAGGGGGCUAGCGUUGUUCGGAUUUACUGGGCGUAAAGCGCACGUAGGCGGACUAUUAAGUCAGGGGUGAAAUCCCGGGGCUCAACCCCGGAACUGCCUUUGAUACUGGUAGUCUUGAGUUCGAGAGAGGUGAGUGGAAUUCCGAGUGUAGAGGUGAAAUUCGUGGAUAUUCGGAGGAACACCAGUGGCGAAGGCGGCUCACUGGCUCGAUACUGACGCUGAGGUGCGAAAGCGUGGGGAGCAAACAGGAUUAGAUACCCCAGUAGUCCC